CGCUCUUUGUAUAAUAAUAUAAAAAUUAAUAUUAAUUUCUAAAAUAAAGAGUCGGGCACUGCCCGGUGACACAAUGUGUUAAACGGCUGCGACUGGCACUAAGGUAGCAUAAUCAUUCGCCUUUUAAUUGAAGGCUUGUAUGAAUGGCUUGACGAGAGUCAAUCUGUCUCCUUUUAAAUAUUUAUAAGUUAUCUUAUAGGUGAAGAGUCCUAUAUUCUAUUGAGGGACGAGAAGACCCUAUUGAACUUCAAUGAAGCAGUGACAAUAAAACUUGUUAACACUUUGAUUUUAAGUUAUUUAUUAAUUUUUAGAUAAUUAAUUGAAGCGUAAAACAGUCUACAUAAAGUCAUUUUUAAUUUUUAGGUGGGAGGACUCGGGAAUAAAAAAAACUUCCUUAAAUUAAUAACUACAGUUCAUGUUAGUUUAUAGAUCCAGUACUUGCUGAUUAAUGGAAAAAGUUACCAUAGGGAUAACAGCGUGAUUUUUCUAGAGAGCCCUUAUUGAAAGAAAAGAUUACGACCUCGAUGUUGGAUUAAGAUACCCUAGAGGCGUAGAGGCUUCUAAUGGUUAGUCUGUUCGACUAUUAAAAUCUUACA
RNAcentral lists this ribosomal RNA (596 nucleotides) under Homalopoma picta. RNAcentral describes it as "partial 16S ribosomal RNA". It matches the Rfam family "Bacterial large subunit ribosomal RNA", at positions 1816 to 2600 of the family's 2925-position model. The record is from RNAcentral. Lineage: Eukaryota; Metazoa; Mollusca; Gastropoda; Trochida; Colloniidae.